RNAcentral lists this long non-coding RNA (1253 nucleotides) under Helianthus annuus (common sunflower). RNAcentral's name for it is "hypothetical non coding rna". The record is from RNAcentral. Lineage: Eukaryota; Viridiplantae; Streptophyta; Magnoliopsida; Asterales; Asteraceae.
UUGAAAAACUCAACACAAGGUUGGAAUUAAGUUUAAUUCUCGGCGAUUUGGUGUUCGUUUUUCUAUGGUCGUUCUUCUAUCCAUGGAAAGCCUUUCAAUCGGCUCCAAACUAGGGUGUCGGCAGCAUCUUCGGUAACCCCAUGCGGAGAGUUGUUUACCGUGCGGGAAGGGUGCCGCCAACACAAGUUUACCGUGCGGGAAGGGUGUAGCUCGGUGUAUGUUCACCGAUUGAGAGAGAGGAGAGAGAGGGGGGUGAUUGGUUGGUAAUGUGGGUCCAUUAUUUUUCCACCAAUCAUAUUUUUUCUUCUUUUUUUUUAUAAAAAAUAAUUGUGUGAGUGGAGUGAUGCCAUCAAAUUGAGAGUGUGAGGGGAGUUAAGAGGAGAGUUGACAUGACAAGUACUGAUUGGGUGUGUGUAAGAGAGGGGACUCCCCUCUUAGGAGAGUGCCCCGCUCACCCUAACACAUGGUAAUAAAAAGUCAAACUAUGUUAAAAAAAUCAAAUAAAAAGUCAAAUGAAAGUUCUUCUUCUUACUCCUACGUUGAAGCCCUCCGUAAAAUAAAUGAUACUUAUUUUGGAGAUGGGUUUAACUCAUUUAGGUGAAAGGACAGCUACCACUUAGCGUAUAGCCUAGUGGUUAAGACGAAUGAUCUCUUACGAGGAGAAAAAUGUUCAAUCCUUAAAAGUUGUAAGUAUUUAAAAGAAAAAAUUAACCGUUCUAAAAAAAGUGAAAGGACGGCUAAAAAGUAAAAACCUUUUGUUUUACAAUUUAAACAUACUAUUUACAUUAAAUCAAUUAAAAAUGUAUGUACAUUUAAGCAUAUUAAUUUUGUUAAAUAGCAAUAAAGUGUAAUAAUAUAGAAAUCAUAACUUAAAUAAACAUGCUUGUGUGGACCUCAUGGGGUUUCCUCUCUGGUUGAUUUAAGGGAAAACGGGUUUAUAGUUGGACAAGCAGCAAGAAAGGCAGAAUUGAAGAAAGUUGAUAAACACAGUAAAGCUUGUGCAGAGAACCAGCAUGUUUUUUGUCCAUUUUGCCUUUGAUACAUUUGGCUCUCUAGCGACAGAAGCUAUCCACUUCCUGAUCAGGAUCCAACGGGCCAUCCACGGUAGUUGUUCAGCCUCAGGAGGGUUUUGUCUUUGGUAGAUUAGGGUUUUCAAUUCAGAAAGGGUGGCGGCGCAGCUUGUUGCCCGUCUACCUUUCGUUUUGAUAUAACUUGGCAAAUAUGAAUCAAUCAAAACCCUAAUAAUAAUUUAA